UCAUUCAACUAUUUCCACAAUUUGGAAAUGCAGAGUGAAUAUGAGAACAAUUCAACUUUGGCAAAAGUAAAAAAGAAGCGGCAAUAUUUCCAUCAGCGAUCCUAUAUUACAAGCGAAAGCGUUCGCAUUUGUUAGAUAACUUGAAUUAGAAGAUUUUGAGUGCACGGUUCGAUGGAUAUAACGAUUUAGAAAGAGGCACAACAUUUUUUUUUCCAUAAAAAAAGUGGGGAAGCAAUAGAUGCACCGGAUCUACAACGAUUGGAUAAUCACAGUAUGGCCAAAUUUAAGGAAAGGAUGCAACGACGAUGAAGUUUUCAAUACAGAUGAAACAGUAAAUUCAUUAACAUGCCCUGUUAGUGUAAAUCCAUGCGAGAUCGUGUUUCAGUCAUUUAAUUUAGCUAAUAGCUAAAUUAGCAAAAAUACAAUGACCAAAAGUAUUUUCCUUGUAAAUCAAAGUCAAAUACAUUGACCAACAAUUAACUGAAGAUGCAACUUUAAGUACAGUAAAUUUGGUGAUUUGAAAAUUAAUAACAUUUUAAUUUCAGUAUUGUACGCAGUAUUAAGAAGG
Molecule: long non-coding RNA, 568 nt
Organism: Hermetia illucens (black soldier fly)
Lineage: Eukaryota; Metazoa; Arthropoda; Insecta; Diptera; Stratiomyidae
Exons: 4
Source: RefSeq, a predicted model, not a curated record